GUCAACUGUGAUGAGGAAGAAUAAAAACUUUAAAGAGAAAUAUGUCAAAUGAAACGAAAAAUGAAUAGUAAAACCACGAAACUAAAUGAACCGAAGUGUAAUAUAUAGUGCUAUAAAAUGGACUUCGAAUAGAAACAGUGAAGAUAAAAAUUUAUCUGUAGGCCUUAUACAAUAUAUAUUCUAUUGUCACGUUUUCCAACACGAUCGCCAUUCGCCACAUGUUACAUAUAGGCCAUCCAUAUAUGGAGAAUUGAUUUUCUACCGUACCACAUUAUUUAAUCACAGAACAAUAUUUGAAAAGAAAACGACUUCUCGG
RNAcentral lists this long non-coding RNA (316 nucleotides) under Androctonus crassicauda. Lineage: Eukaryota; Metazoa; Arthropoda; Arachnida; Scorpiones; Buthidae. The record is from RNAcentral.